This 465-nucleotide ribosomal RNA is filed under the name uncultured Klebsiella sp. RNAcentral describes it as "bacterial SSU rRNA". It matches the Rfam family "Bacterial small subunit ribosomal RNA", at positions 338 to 795 of the family's 1533-position model. Lineage: Bacteria; Pseudomonadati; Pseudomonadota; Gammaproteobacteria; Enterobacterales; Enterobacteriaceae. The record is from RNAcentral.
CCUACGGGUGGCUGCAGUGGGGAAUAUUGCACAAUGGGCGCAAGCCUGAUGCAGCCAUGCCGCGUGUGUGAAGAAGGCCUUCGGGUUGUAAAGCACUUUCAGCGGGGAGGAAGGCGGUGAGGUUAAUAACCUCAUCGAUUGACGUUACCCGCAGAAGAAGCACCGGCUAACUCCGUGCCAGCAGCCGCGGUAAUACGGAGGGUGCAAGCGUUAAUCGGAAUUACUGGGCGUAAAGCGCACGCAGGCGGUCUGUCAAGUCGGAUGUGAAAUCCCCGGGCUCAACCUGGGAACUGCAUUCGAAGCUGGCAGGCUAGAGUCUUGUAGAGGGGGGUAGAAUUCCAGGUGUAGCGGUGAAAUGCGUAGAGAUCUGGAGGAAUACCGGUGGCGAAGGCGGCCCCCUGGACAAAGACUGACGCUCAGGUGCGAAAGCGUGGGGAGCAAACAGGAUUAGAUACCCGUGUAGUC